GUGUCAGCCGCCGCGGUAAUACAGAGGGUGCGAACGUUGCUCGGAUUUACUGGGCGUAAAGCGCGUGUAGGCGGACUCGCAAGUCGGUUGUGAAAUCCCUGGGCUCAACCUAGGAACUGCAUCCGAAACUGCUUGUCUAGAGUGGUAGAGAGGGUGGCGGAAUUCCCGGUGUAGAGGUGAAAUUCGUAGAUAUCGGGAGGAACAUCAGUGGCGAAGGCGGCCACCUGGAUACUUACUGACGCUGAGACGCGAAAGCGUGGGGAGCAAACAGGAUUAGAUACCCUAGUAGUCC
This 292-nucleotide ribosomal RNA is filed under the name uncultured bacterium. RNAcentral describes it as "partial 16S ribosomal RNA". It matches the Rfam family "Bacterial small subunit ribosomal RNA", at positions 505 to 796 of the family's 1533-position model. The record is from RNAcentral.